RNAcentral lists this ribosomal RNA (382 nucleotides) under uncultured eukaryote. Its description in RNAcentral is "partial 18S ribosomal RNA". It matches the Rfam family "Eukaryotic small subunit ribosomal RNA", at positions 592 to 976 of the family's 1831-position model. The record is from RNAcentral.
UGUAAGCGUAUACCAAAGUUGUUGCAGUUAAAACGCUCGUAGUCGGAAUUUGGCAGUUCCGGAAGUGUGCACGUCGUGUGCGCACUUUGCGGGGACUGCUUUUGUGGUCUUGCGUAGGAUGAGGCACUUUCAUUAGUGAACGUCCUCACGCAACCACUAUUUACUGUGAGAAAAUCAGAGUGCUCAAAGCAGGCAUUUGCCGUGAAUGUAUUAGCAUGGAAUAAUAGAAUAGGACUCGGUUCUAUUUUGUUGGUUUGUUGGGACUGAGUAAUGAUUAAGAGGGACAGUUGGGGGCAUUUGUAUUCCGGCGCUAGAGGUGAAAUUCUUAGAUUGCCGGAAGACAAACUGCUGCGAAAGCGUCUGCCAAGGAUGUUUUCAUUGA